This 469-nucleotide ribosomal RNA is filed under the name uncultured Sphingomonas sp. Its description in RNAcentral is "bacterial SSU rRNA". It matches the Rfam family "Bacterial small subunit ribosomal RNA", at positions 8 to 523 of the family's 1533-position model. The record is from RNAcentral. Lineage: Bacteria; Pseudomonadati; Pseudomonadota; Alphaproteobacteria; Sphingomonadales; Sphingomonadaceae.
AGAGUUUGAUUAUGGCUCAGAACGAACGCUGGCGGCAUGCCUAACACAUGCAAGUCGAACGAGACCUUCGGGUCUAGUGGCGCACGGGUGCGUAACGCGUGGGAAUCUGCCCUUGGGUUCGGAAUAACAGUUAGAAAUGACUGCUAAUACCGGAUGAUGACUUCGGUCCAAAGAUUUAUCGCCCAGGGAUGAGCCCGCGUAGGAUUAGCUUGUUGGUGAGGUAAAAGCUCACCAAGGCGACGAUCCUUAGCUGGUCUGAGAGGAUGAUCAGCCACACUGGGACUGAGACACGGCCCAGACUCCUACGGGAGGCAGCAGUGGGGAAUAUUGGACAAUGGACGAAAGCCUGAUCCAGCAAUGCCGCGUGAGUGAUGAAGGCCUUAGGGUUGUAAAGCUCUUUUACCCGGGAUGAUAAUGACAGUACCGGGAGAAUAAGCUCCGGCUAACUCCGUGCCAGCCGCCGCGGUAA